GCAGUCGAACGCGAAAGCGGGGCAACCCGCAAGUAGAGUGGCGAACGGGUGAGUAAUACAUCGGAACGUACCCAGUAGCGGGGGAUAACCUCUCGAAAGAGAAGCUAAUACCGCAUACGACCUACGGGUGAAAGCGGGGGACCGCAAGGCCUCGCACUAUUGGAGCGGCCGAUGUCGGAUUAGCUAGUUGGCGGGGUAACGGCCCACCAAGGCGACGAUCCGUAGCUGGUCUGAGAGGACGACCAGCCACACUGGAACUGAGACACGGUCCAGACUCCUACGGGAGGCAGCAGUGGGGAAUUUUGGACAAUGGGCGCAAGCCUGAUCCAGCCAUGCCGCGUGAGUGAAGAAGGCCUUCGGGUUGUAAAGCUCUUUCGGCGGGGACGAAAAGGUCCGUGACAACACCACGGAUCCAUGACGGUACCCGCAGAAGAAGCACCGGCUAACUACGUGCCAGCAGCCGCGGUAAUACGUAGGGUGCAGGCGUUAAUCGGAAUUACUGGGCGUAAAGCGUGCGCAGGCGGUUUGCUAAGAGAGGUGUGAAAUCCCCGGGCUUAACCUGGGAACUGCGCUUCUAACUGGCAGGCUUGAGUGUGGCAGAGGGGGGUGGAAUUCCACGUGUAGCAGUGAAAUGCGUAGAGAUGUGGAGGAACACCGAUGGCGAAGGCAGCCCCCUGGGCUAACACUGACGCUCAUGCACGAAAGCGUGGGGAGCAAACAGGAUUAGAUACCCUGGUAGUCCACGCCCUAAACUAUGUCAACUGGUUGUCGGGGAAGCAAUUCCUUGGUAACGAAGCUAACGCGUGAAGUUGACCGGCC
This 819-nucleotide ribosomal RNA is filed under the name uncultured microorganism. RNAcentral's name for it is "bacterial SSU rRNA". It matches the Rfam family "Bacterial small subunit ribosomal RNA", at positions 57 to 873 of the family's 1533-position model. The record is from RNAcentral.